This 432-nucleotide unclassified non-coding RNA is filed under the name soil metagenome. RNAcentral's name for it is "partial contains 5.8S ribosomal RNA, internal transcribed spacer 2, and large subunit ribosomal RNA". The stretch from base 1 to 120 matches the Rfam family "5.8S ribosomal RNA", at positions 35 to 154 of the family's 154-position model. The record is from RNAcentral.
GAUGAAGAACGUAGCGAAAUGCGAUACGUAAUGUGAAUUGCAGAAUUCAGUGAAUCAUCGAAUCUUUGAACGCAUAUUGCGCUCUCUGGUAUUCCGGAGAGCAUGCUUGUUUGAGUAUCAGUAAACACCUCAACUUCCAUAUCUUUUUUGAAAUGGGAGUUGGACUUGAGUGAUCCCAACGCUUUUCCUCACCGAAAAGUGGCGGGUUACUUGAAAUGCAGGUGCAGCUGGACUUUUCUCUGAGCUAUAAGCAUAUCUAUUUAGUCUGCCUAAAAAACAGAUUAUUUCCUUUGCUGCAGCUAACAUAAAGGAGAUUAGUUCUUGUGCUGACUGAUGCAGGAUUCACAAAGACGGCUUCGGCCGACUUUGUAAACUCGAUCUCAAAUCAAGUAAGACUACCCGCUGAACUUAAGCAUAUCAAUAAGCGGAGGA